AUGAACGCUGGCGGCGUGCCUAAUACAUGCAAGUCGAGCGAACAGACGAGGAGCUUGCUCCUCUGACGUUAGCGGCGGACGGGUGAGUAACACGUGGAUAACCUACCUAUAAGACUGGGAUAACUUCGGGAAACCGGAGCUAAUACCGGAUAAUAUAUUGAACCGCAUGGUUCAAUAGUGAAAGACGGUUUUGCUGUCACUUAUAGAUGGAUCCGCGCCGCAUUAGCUAGUUGGUAAGGUAACGGCUUACCAAGGCGACGAUGCGUAGCCGACCUGAGAGGGGGACGGCCCACACGGGAACUGGACACCGGGCCGGAUCCCUAGGGGGGGCAGCAGGAGGGAAUUUUCGGCAAGGGGCGAAACCCGGAGGAAGCAACGCCGGGGGGGGGAGGAAGGUUUUGGGAUCGAAAACCCUUUUUAUUGGGAAAAAAAAAAUUGGAAAUAAACUAUGCACGUUUUGACGGUACCAAUGAAAAAAGCCCCGGCUAACUAGGU
This 495-nucleotide ribosomal RNA is filed under the name uncultured bacterium. RNAcentral's name for it is "partial 16S ribosomal RNA". It matches the Rfam family "Bacterial small subunit ribosomal RNA", at positions 29 to 506 of the family's 1533-position model. The record is from RNAcentral.